GCGGAACGACACUUUUAGUGAAUCAGUUUCGAGACGUUCUCCGGAGCAGUAUCUGCUCCGAUAUAUAACCACGAACUUGGACGUUUCGCUACAAGAAAACGAGGAUCCUUCGUGGACACAAAUUGAACGAAGACGUAGUACGUUCGGUUUCGGAACUUAACUAGGGCCGUUACGAAGCGAUGUUGGUAAUUCGGCAGCUUCUAAUGACAGAAUCUUGUUUGGUGAAGCGCAACGUUAUACGACAAUUUUUGCAUAGUAACUGGAAUCCUUCUAAACCACGGAUCAUACGUGACUGAAUUGAGCGGGAUAAGAACUUAGAAUCGCCAGUGCCUACGACUGUGUAUCCGAGGUCCUCGACACGACCUUUCGAAUGAUAUGUCUAUAUUGAGAACUGUAUGAUAGCAAUGACGCUGGUGCAUUCAAAGACUCGAACGAACACCAAAAAAUAGAGGAACAACUUGGAAAAUCUAUGGAACGAAUUUUUUUUCUACGUAUAUUCAUCUUCGAGACACAAGUACACAGGGAAAUUUAUUUAUCUCGCCACUUGCUGAACAAUUUUCUAAUCAGUCUCAGUAGAUCGCUCGGUGAACUUUAACCUAUUGUGCGUUCUUAAAUGCUAAUCGAUAAGUUUCAUAGUUCCUAUACAAUCUACUAUUACUGAAUACUUGAUAUACAUGUACUAACCAUCUCUCCUAGCAUGUUUCUUCUCGAGUUCCGUAAUUUGUGGCAACGGCUCCCCGGCUCGACGUUUCAGGCUGCUCUGCUGGCAAUUGGGGGAAUUGUCGGAAGACGGGCUGAGAUGUUGGGGUGACUCGCUGCUCGAACGUAUUUGGACACUGUCCUCCGGGGAAUCCUUCGGUGAGUUGUAUUUAUCCUGCCAUAAAGAAUUUUGUGGACUGUGAUAUCCCAUUGACGCCUAUAAAACGUUUGAUCAUCGUCAGUUCACGGGAUGAAUCGCGCGGAGCUUCACGGGUUUCGCUCGAAGAGCCACGACGACGUGACCGAGACGCGAUUCACAAACUGCUAGUUGCGCGAAUAGAAUCGGCUCUAUCGCGUGUUCAACGAGAGCGCGAUGAACGAAAACGAAGAAGAAAAAUUGGCUGAUAUGGUUAACGCGCGUGCUGGAAAUACGGAGGACGUUUUUGCCCUCUCGCGAACUUAAUGAGAACGAGCGUCGUGAAGCGUCGCGUUCAACUUCGAGUACCAACGAGAUGAUACCAUUGUCCGAAGGAAGGAACAUUGUGAAACUUACAUGCUGAGUGGCGAUGGGGUCGCACCUGUUCUGACGAACUGGGGACAGCUGUUCGUACGGAGGCGACGGUGUAUUGGGAAACCAUAUCGUCCCGUUCAAAGCAUCUGCACCGCCGUCCAUGAUGAAUUCCAGCUCCAUCCAACGACCCUAAAUCUCGAAACACUCCUACCAGGGUUUGUUUCUCAGGGUAACACUACCUUUAUCGAUUGUUUUCUUUCUAAUCACGAUUCUAUUCGCCCUUACUGUUCGAGUGCUCAGAGAUUCUUUGGAGAACGCUUUGGUCGCCUAUUAUUCGAAGAGAAGACUAUAAGUCCGAGUUUAGUUAGAACAUGAACGAUCAUCCACGCUGAAAUUUUUUGGGAUCAACAAGGACUCGGGCACCUCUGUCGCUCGACUUUUCUAAGCGCUAACGUACAUUUUGCGGCUGAUAGGUUUCCCAGUUUUUGUUCUUUCGUCGGUUCGUUUCCCUCGUUCCACUUGAUCUUUCGGAUUCUUU
This is a long non-coding RNA of Bombus terrestris (buff-tailed bumblebee), 1748 nucleotides long. RefSeq lists it as uncharacterized. The transcript has 2 exons. Lineage: Eukaryota; Metazoa; Arthropoda; Insecta; Hymenoptera; Apidae. The record is from RefSeq and is a predicted model, not a curated record.